Molecule: small nuclear RNA, 101 nt
Filed under: Fukomys damarensis (Damara mole-rat)
Lineage: Eukaryota; Metazoa; Chordata; Mammalia; Rodentia; Bathyergidae
Description: U2 spliceosomal RNA
Rfam family: U2 spliceosomal RNA
About the family: U2 is a small nuclear RNA (snRNA) component of the spliceosome (involved in pre-mRNA splicing). Complementary binding between U2 snRNA (in an area lying towards the 5' end but 3' to hairpin I) and the branchpoint sequence (BPS) of the intron results the bulging out of an unpaired adenosine, on the BPS, which initiates a nucleophilic attack at the intronic 5' splice site, thus starting the first of two transesterification reactions that mediate splicing.
Source: Rfam by way of RNAcentral
AUCGCUUCUCGGCCUUUUGGCUAAGAUCAAGUGUAGUCUAGUGAGUGUUACAAAUGUUUAGUACAAGAAAUUGCACUACUUUUUUGAUGGUAUAAACUAAU